Molecule: ribosomal RNA, 392 nt
Filed under: uncultured bacterium
Lineage: Bacteria
Description: partial 16S ribosomal RNA
Rfam family: Bacterial small subunit ribosomal RNA
Source: RNAcentral
CUACGGAGGAUGCGAGCGUUAUCCGGAUUUAUUGGGUUUAAAGGGAGCGUAGGCGGGAGCUUAAGUCAGCGGUUAAAUGGUGCGGCUCAACCGUGCCCUGCCGUUGAAACUGGGUUUCUUGAGAGUGCAAGAGGCGGAUGGAAUUCAUGGUGUAGGGGUGAAAUGCUUAGAUAUCAUGAAGAACUCCGAUUGCGAAGGCAGUCCGCUGGGGCACGUCUGACGCUGAUGCUCGAAGGUGCGGGAAUCAAACAGGAUUAGAUACCCUGGUAGUCCGCACGGUAAACGAUGAUUACCCGCUGUCGGCGGCAGACAGUCGGCGGCCAAGCGAAAGCGAUAAGUAAUCCACCUGGGGAGUACGCCGGCAACGGUGAAACUCAAAUGAAUUGACGGGG